This is a long non-coding RNA of Homo sapiens (human), 789 nucleotides long. Ensembl annotates it as tektin 4 pseudogene 2. Its record names the gene TEKT4P2. Lineage: Eukaryota; Metazoa; Chordata; Mammalia; Primates; Hominidae. The record is from Ensembl.
ACUUCGCCAUUUUCCUCCGGAAGUGCGGAUCCCAGCGGCGGUCGUGUAGCUGAGCAGGCCUGGGGCUUGGUUCUAUGUCCCUGUAGUGUCCUCUGGGUGUUUCCAAGAGCAACAAGAAACGAAUAAAUCUCUGCCCCGCAGCGCCUCCACCCCAGAGACCCGGACCAAGUUCACACAGGACAAUCUGUGCCACGCCCAGCGCGAGCGCCUGGACUCGGCCAACCUGUGGGUGCUGGUGGACUGCAUCCUUCGCGACACCUCCGAGGACCUGGGACUCCAGUGUGACGCCGUGAACCUGGCCUUCGGGCGCCGCUGUGAGGAACUGGAGGACGCGCGGCACAAGCUGCAGCACCACCUGCACAAGAUGCUGCGGGAAAUCACAGAUCAGGAACACAACGUGGUGGCACUGAAGGAGGCCAUCAAGGACAAGGAGGAACCUCUGCACAUAGCCCAGACCCGGCUGUAGUUGCUCUCACACCGGCCCAACAUGCAGCUGUGCCGCGAUGCAGCCCAGUUCAGCUGGUGAGUGAGGUGGAGGAGCUGUACAAGUCCAUCACAGCGCUGCGGGAGAAGCUUCUACAAGCGGAGCAGUCCCUGCGCAACCUCAAGGACAUCCACAUGAGCCUGGAGAAGGACGUCACUGCCAUGACCAACAGUCUCUUCAUCGACCGCCAGAAGUGCAUGGCCCAUCGUACUUGCUACCCCACCAUUCUGCAGCUGGCUGGCUACCAGUGAGCAGCGGCACGGUGCUUCCCCCCAAUCCCCCAAAUAAACAGUGCGUUAGCUUUC